This 540-nucleotide ribosomal RNA is filed under the name Triticum aestivum (bread wheat). RNAcentral describes it as "partial small subunit ribosomal RNA". The record is from RNAcentral. Lineage: Eukaryota; Viridiplantae; Streptophyta; Magnoliopsida; Poales; Poaceae.
AUGUACUCAGGAAUCAAGGAUUCCACUCGGAUCCACCCGGAGGAUGUCAGUGAGGACACGGUGGAGCAGUGGCUGAGAGGCAUUACUGGCAACAAGGAUAACCCCCGGGGGUCUAGGAGGGUGGUUCCAUUCGACCAUUUACACCAGUCGGAACAUGCCCUUAUUGAUAUGUAUUCAAUGCCCAACAGAGAGCAGGAGCAAGAUCCUGAGGGGAAGGCGAGCGGAGGCGAGAGUGGCGAGUGGCACUCGGAUGAAGAGGAGGAUGAGGAGAGCGACGACCCGAGUGAUGAAGAAGAAGUCGACUCGCCUCCUCACAGAGAAAGGAGGUCCAAGCACACUCACGACCCGGCAAGCACCCCCGACCUGGUGGUCGCACCAACUGGGCAGUCUUCAAAGCGCCCUCGGACGUCUUCUCCAGUGCCGACCGAGAAGGCACCGAAGCAGCCCAAGACUGCGCCGCCUCCAGUGCCAAAACCACCGAAGGCCGCAGAUUCCAAACCACCGAAGGCUUUACCCAAAAUCAAAAUGGAAACAGAACGU